RNAcentral lists this ribosomal RNA (254 nucleotides) under Bithynia sp. CAK234. Its description in RNAcentral is "partial small subunit ribosomal RNA". It matches the Rfam family "Eukaryotic small subunit ribosomal RNA", at positions 868 to 1144 of the family's 1831-position model. The record is from RNAcentral. Lineage: Eukaryota; Metazoa; Mollusca; Gastropoda; Littorinimorpha; Bithyniidae.
AUGGACAGACGGGGGCAUCCGUAUUGCGGUGUUAGAGGUGAAAUUCUUGGAUCAUCGCAAGACGAACGACUGCAANNNNNNNUUAGUCAAGAACGAAAGUCAGAGGUUCGAAGACGAUCAGAUACCGUCGUAGUUCUGACCAUAAACGAUGCCAACUAGCGAUCCGCUGGUGUUGCUUCAUCGACUCUGCGGGCAGCUUCCGGGAAACCAAAGUUUUCGGGUUCCGGGGGAAGUAUGGUUGCAAAGCUGAAACU